GACGAACGCUGGCGGCGUGCUUAACACAUGCAAGUCGAACGGAAAGGCCCCUUUGGUGGUACUCGAGUGGCGGACGGGUGCGUAACACGUGAGUAACCUUCCCUUGACUUCGGGAUAACUUCAGGAAACUGGGGCUAAUACCGGAUAGGAAUCCUUGCUGCAUGGUGGGGGUUGGAAAGCUUCGGCGGGUUUGGAUGGACUUGCGGGUUAUCUGCUUGUUGGUGGGGUAGUGGGUUACCAAGGCGUUGUAGGGUAGCCGGCCUGCGGGGGCGACCGGCCACAUUGGGACCUACGUACGGCCGAAGUACCUACGGGAGGGAGAAGUGGGGAAUCUUGACCAAUGGGCGGCAGGCUGAUGCAGCAACGCCGCGGGCGGGAUGACGGUCUUCGGGUUGUAAACCGAUUUCGGCAGGGGCGAAGCUUGUGGUGACGGUACCUGCAGAAGAAGCACCGGCUAACUACGUG
Molecule: ribosomal RNA, 465 nt
Filed under: uncultured bacterium
Lineage: Bacteria
Description: partial 16S ribosomal RNA
Rfam family: Bacterial small subunit ribosomal RNA
Source: RNAcentral